This 253-nucleotide ribosomal RNA is filed under the name uncultured bacterium. RNAcentral describes it as "partial 16S ribosomal RNA". It matches the Rfam family "Bacterial small subunit ribosomal RNA", at positions 524 to 776 of the family's 1533-position model. The record is from RNAcentral.
UACGUAGGUGGCAAGCGUUGUCCGGAUUUAUUGGGUUUAAAGGGUGCGUAGGCGGCCCUGUAAGUCAGUGCUGAAAUAUCCCGGCUUAACCGGGAGGGUGGCAUUGAUACUGCGGGGCUAGAGUACAGAUGAGGUAGGCGGAAUUGACGGUGUAGCGGUGAAAUGCGCAGAUAUCAGGAAGAACACCCGUGGCGAAGGCGGUUCUCUGGGACGGUACUGACGCUGAGACGCGAAAGCGUGGGGAGCGAACAGG